RNAcentral lists this small RNA (117 nucleotides) under Leuconostoc gasicomitatum. RNAcentral's name for it is "Leuconostoc gelidum subsp. gasicomitatum L10_leader". It matches the Rfam family "Ribosomal protein L10 leader". From Rfam's summary of the family: This family is a putative r-protein leader autoregulatory structure found in B. subtilis and other low-GC Gram-positive bacteria. The record is from RNAcentral. Lineage: Bacteria; Bacillati; Bacillota; Bacilli; Lactobacillales; Lactobacillaceae.
GUAAAUUAAAUCAUUUUGCCUAAGACUCAGGUGGUACUUGUACCUUAAUAUCCUGCCGAGGAAGUUUAAAAAACUUUUCCCGUGUGUCUUUUGGUACACGGGAUUUCUUUUGCAAAA